UGAGAACAUGAGAAAAUCAGAGUGGUGAGAGGGCUCUAAAGCAGGCUGCAGAGCUGGGUGUGAAAGGCUGCACUGAUGGGCGUGGCAUGGGAACAGAAACCCUUUCAGAGAAAUAACAGCCACUUAAACCCCUCCCCCAGCUCCCUGCCCAUCACAUCCUGCAAAAGAUGCUGGUGGGAAGAACAAAAGAAAGGAAAGAAAAGAUAAACCCCAGCAAAAACCAGUCAUCAGAGGGAGGUCAAUUUCAGCGUGACGUGAAAGGUGGACGUCACUAACUGGAAACUCUCUGACUUCUGAAGAAAGAAUCCAGGACCCACUCCCAUGAUAGUGCCCUAAAGCUGAGGUCCUGCUGACCCAAGUUGCUUCUCGUCUUGCUAUUGGCUGACACUGUUCAUAUAACAGUGGCUGUUUCACUUCUGUUUGAAAUAAACAAGCUGAAUUCUAUGGGAGAGAAGCCAGGAGUCAGAGCAGAGCCAAACGUCCAUCCAGGCAGCGGAAGGCAGAAGCACAGUUGUUCUGGGGAAGGAUGUGCCUCUUUGGCUAAGGAGAAUCUUGGAACUUUUUGAAUUGGGAAGAUAAAAGAUGAAGAAGAUGAUCUUUUAGAGGCUACUUGUACCAAUAGUUUGAGCUCCAAAGGACAUAUAAUGGCAUUUCAAUUCUGAUUUGGAGCCUGAAUUUGGGAAAGGAAGAAUCAACAAUAGUUGUCCAAGAGACAAGAUGUCCACCAUGCAUAUGUCUGAUGCCUCCCAAGGUCAGAAGAGGGUGUUGGAGAAACUUGCUUUUCGCCAUGUGAGAUGGAGUACGGCAAAUGUUUGAUCAGUAAUCAGGAAGAAAAGUGGAAUUAAACUGGCUACAGAUACUACCAAUUAUUCACAUGACCUUUGUGUUGACCCCAACGGUCAAGUGCUGCGUCCUUCAGAAAUGCUGAAGAAAGCACAGAGAUUCCAUGGGUGGAGAACUUAAGAAGUGUGUCCAAGUCUACACAGCUAGUGAGCACUUUAAAAGCCCUGAGAAAAUGUUAACUCGGUGCUCUCCCCCAACCCCUGUGAACCUCCAAAAAGUCUGCACGGAAACCCAUGGUCAAAGUCUGCACAGAAACCCAUGGUCAGAAGUCUGGAUGGAAACCCAUGGUCAAAAGUCUGCAUGGAAACUUUCUCUCUUGUCAGACACAUAUGCCUUUCUCAUCCUUACAAGGAAAGCAAGGUCUGGGGACUGGAGAGAUGCUUUCGGGGUUCAUAGCACUUGUUGCUUUUCUAAAGGAUUCAAGCACUGACAUGGCGGCUCCCAGCCAUCUUUAACUCCACAGGAUUUGAUGCUCUCUUGUGGCUCUGUGGGCAUGCACACAGUGUGGAGACAUACGUACAGACAAAACAUUCAUACAUGUAAAAAUCCUUAACAACCACAAAAACAAUAAUGACAACAGUCAGAAAACAAAGCAAUUUUUGGCUCCUGGCACAGCUUGGGGUCGAAGGGAGAUUGUGUUUCAAGUUGGAGAGUACUACAGUAGUGUUGAUAUGAAACUACAACUCUGUAACCUUCCUUUAUUUAGCUACCAGAAUGAUAGAGAGAUACCAGAGGAAGACCUGGAACAUCUGCCUGCAGGGCAACUCCUCUAGCCUAGAGACGAGGCUGACAGACACUUGGGAAUCCUCCAACUCCAAAUCUGAAUGUUUACUCUUUCAUUUACCUGACAGCAAAGCCUAAAAUCUACAACAGCCAACUUGGUCUAGUUCCACACUUGAUUAUAAACAAGUUAAUGACCACAAAUUUUUAGUGGAAAACCCCUUAACAUUUAAGGCACCAACAUUUUUUUCAUUUUUUAUUGGUUAUUUUUUAAUUUACAUUUCAAAUGUUAUCCCCUU
Rattus rattus (black rat) is the source of this 1862-nucleotide long non-coding RNA. RefSeq lists it as uncharacterized. Lineage: Eukaryota; Metazoa; Chordata; Mammalia; Rodentia; Muridae. The transcript is spliced from 5 exons. The record is from RefSeq and is a predicted model, not a curated record.